Non-coding RNA from Caenorhabditis elegans, 145 nucleotides. Lineage: Eukaryota; Metazoa; Nematoda; Chromadorea; Rhabditida; Rhabditidae. The record is from Ensembl.
CACACCCAAAUUUCGAUUCAUUUGGCUUCGCUCGCUCGUGUGUAUUGUGAAACCAAAAGUUGGAAAACGUUUCAAACAUCAAAAAUGGAUGCGAAUAAGCGUGUGUGUGUGUGUGCGCGCACGAGUAUCAAGUGAAAUGUGGCGG